RNAcentral lists this ribosomal RNA (500 nucleotides) under uncultured bacterium. RNAcentral describes it as "partial 16S ribosomal RNA". It matches the Rfam family "Bacterial small subunit ribosomal RNA", at positions 30 to 523 of the family's 1533-position model. The record is from RNAcentral.
AUUGAACGCUGGCGGAGUGCUUUACACAUGCAAGUCGAACGGCAGCACGGACUUCGGUCUGGUGGCGAGUGGCGAACGGGUGAGUAAUGUAUCGGAACGUGCCCAGUCGUGGGGGAUAACGUAGUGAAAAUUACGCUAAUACCGCAUACGAUCUAUGGAUGAAAGCGGGGGAUCGCAAGACCUCGCGCGAUUGGAGCGGCCGAUAUCAGAUUAGGUAGUUGGGGGGGUAAAGGCCCACCAAGCCAACGAUCUGUAGCUGGGCUGAGAGGACGACCGGCCAGCCUGGAACUAGGACACGGUCCAGACGCCUACGGGAGGCGGCAGUGGGGAAUUUUGGACAAUGGGCGAAAGCCUGAUCCAGCCAUUCCGCGUGCAGGAUGAAGGCCCUCGGGUUGUAAACUGCUUUUGUACAGAACGAAAAGGUUUCUACUAAUACUAGGAGCUCAUGACGGUACUGUAAGAAUAAGCACCGGCUAACUACGUGCCAGCAGCCGCCGUAA